ACGGAGGGUGCAAGCGUUGUACGGAAACAUUGGGAAUAAAGAGUUCGUAGGUGGUUUAUUAAGUCUGGUGUUAAAGGCCGAAGCUCAACUUCGGUAAGGCACUGGAUACUGGUAGACUUGAAUGCGGUAGAGGUAAAGGGAAUUCCUGGUGUAGCGGUGAAAUGCGUAUAUAUCAGGAGGAACAUCGAUGGCGUAAGCGCUUUACUGGUCCGUAAUUGACUCUGAGGAACUAAAGCCGGGGUAGCAAAUUG
RNAcentral lists this ribosomal RNA (251 nucleotides) under uncultured prokaryote. RNAcentral describes it as "partial 16S rRNA". It matches the Rfam family "Bacterial small subunit ribosomal RNA", at positions 525 to 775 of the family's 1533-position model. The record is from RNAcentral.